RNAcentral lists this long non-coding RNA (251 nucleotides) under Nicotiana benthamiana. RNAcentral's name for it is "long non-coding RNA (NBEN_LNC016268)". Lineage: Eukaryota; Viridiplantae; Streptophyta; Magnoliopsida; Solanales; Solanaceae. The record is from RNAcentral.
UCGUUCACAAGUUUAGCUUAGACGAAAUUUAGGCAGCCAAAACAGAAUUUAAAAGAGACAAGCAUAUACGGGACAAAUUUCCCAACCUUUCCAUUAAUAUGGAAAAUAUACAAAGGACCCUCCCUUGACAAAGAACACAAUCCGUUCUUAUGCCAACACUAAGGUUCGCCUAUGCCAAACCUUAGCCCCCUUUUGGAAACUAGAAACCCUCACGUUCCUCUCGUGUUUCCCACAAAGAAAUUCCCUUGAAC